This 1265-nucleotide long non-coding RNA is filed under the name Pan troglodytes (chimpanzee). Its description in RNAcentral is "lincRNA". Lineage: Eukaryota; Metazoa; Chordata; Mammalia; Primates; Hominidae. The record is from RNAcentral.
AAGCUCCCUGCUCUCAGGAGAAUCUGGCACAGCACCAUCACCAACUCAGAGGGAGGGAAGCAACCUUGAGUCAGCUCCCAGGCAGUAAUGAGUGUUCAAGGGAGAUAUAACUCUAAGGAAAAGGAUUGAGGUCAUGGAAUUAGAAGAAACAGAUGGAAGAAUCAUUUGAACCAUAUCCAGGUCUUUUGAAAAUGAUGAGACAGAAGAGAAAGAGAAAAUUGCUUCAGACAGUUUUGCUGAGAAAUUUGUCUCAGAUAAAUUUUGGAGUAAGGUCAGAGACCUAAGAUAAGAAAACCCCUAGGCAGAGGUGGGAAAAAAUAGAAAAAAGAAAACGAAAAGAGCAAAUACAUUCUUCCUUCCUAUCUUCCACUUGCCAGAGUAGCUUUACUAAGAUGCUGCCUGAUCAUUUCUCUCCAGACACUUUUGCCAAUGAUAUUAAUACUAUAAAGGAGCAUUUCUGGACUUGAUUCAUUAAUGAUUAGAAAGCUCGUAACAGAUUAGAUGACCAGGCUACAGUCUCACCUGCCAGGCAGUGCAGCUGCAGAUCUUGGCUGACCAUCAUGUCAGCACCUACUAUGUGCCAGUCACUGUGCCAGGAGUUGGAAAUAUGAGGAAGACCGUAAUUCUCAUAAUGAGAAUACAAGGAAGACCAUCUCUCAAGAAAGGAACAUCAUAAAACAUGUUUACUGUCAAGUCCUUGUCAUUAUCAAAAAUAUCUCCGGAUUGAUGUCAUUCUGAGAAAAGUGAUUUCAUACUGAAAAAAAAUUCUACAAAAAUAGUAAAACUCUUCUUCUCAAUUUUCAGAACUUGGAUGGGGUUGGGGGCAGGUGCUUUCAUCUAUUUUCAUCUUGUCCUGGUAGAAAUUAUUUGCUUGAUUAACAUUUUGGUGGGGAAGUUCAGUCUCUAAGGCUACAGAUGAGAAGAUCAGUUACUGGAUGGGUUCCUAACUUCAAUGUCAAAUCCAAGAGCCUGAAAAUAAAGUAUGGAAAGAAAGGGAAACAAAGAAAAGUUAUCAGACAAUGUGAAGACAUUUUAUGGAGAGGAAGAAAGAGUGAGUGAGCACAGGAAAAAUCACAAAGCAGUAUAUGAAGAAAAGAAAGAGAUAACAGUUAUUAGUAAGUAAAGAGAUAAUUAAGAGAUAAUCCUUUCAGUGGCAUGAACACCAUAGUUUGUGACAUCACUGGUCAUUAAUGAUUUGUAAGAAGCAGUGUCUCAACUAUGUUUCUGUUACAUUAAUUAUACCCGAAAUAAAAUAUUUGCACACC